RNAcentral lists this ribosomal RNA (449 nucleotides) under uncultured bacterium. RNAcentral describes it as "partial 16S ribosomal RNA". It matches the Rfam family "Bacterial small subunit ribosomal RNA", at positions 354 to 796 of the family's 1533-position model. The record is from RNAcentral.
GUGGGGAAUUUUGGACAAUGGGCGCAAGCCUGAUCCAGCAAUGCCGCGUGCAGGAAGAAGGCCUUCGGGUUGUAAACUGCUUUUGUACGGAACGAAACGGUCCGGGUUAAUACCCUGGGCUAUGACGGUACCGUAAGAAUAAGCACCGGCUAACUACGUGCCAGCAGCCGCGGUAAUACGUAGGGUGCAAGCGUUAAUCGGAAUUACUGGGCGUAAAGCGUGCGCAGGCGGUGCUGUAAGACAGGCGUGAAAUCCCCGGGCUCAACCUGGGAAUUGCGCUUGUGACUGCAAGGCUGGAGUGCGGCAGAGGGGGAUGGAAUUCCGCGUGUAGCAGUGAAAUGCGUAGAUAUGCGGAGGAACACCGAUGGCGAAGGCAAUCCCCUGGGCCUGCACUGACGCUCAUGCACGAAAGCGUGGGGAGCAAACAGGAUUAGAAACCCGGGUAGUCC